RNAcentral lists this transfer RNA (71 nucleotides) under Microcoleus sp. FACHB-DQ6. Its description in RNAcentral is "tRNA-Val". The record is from RNAcentral. Lineage: Bacteria; Bacillati; Cyanobacteriota; Cyanophyceae; Oscillatoriales; Microcoleaceae. RNAcentral also lists the same sequence under 1 other name.
AGUCCUGAGCUUCGAUGGUAGAGCGUUUGCCUAACAAGCAGACGCGGGGUAAUCUCCUGUCAGGACUACCA